Molecule: small RNA, 127 nt
Filed under: Marmota monax (woodchuck)
Lineage: Eukaryota; Metazoa; Chordata; Mammalia; Rodentia; Sciuridae
Source: RNAcentral
GCCGGGCAUGGUGGUGCACACCUGUAAUCCCAGCAACUUGGGAGGCUGAGGCAGGAGAAUCAUGAGUUCAGAGCCAGCCUCAGCAACUUAGCAAGACCCUAAGCAACUCAGUGAGACCUUGUCUUUA